AGGUAAGUAAACAAGGGCACACGGGGGAUGCCUAGGCUCUCAGAGGCGAAGAAGGACGUGAUAAGCUGCGAAAAGCCGCGGGGAUUGGCACAUACGAAGUGAUCCGCGGGUAUCCGAAUGGGGCAACCCACUUACGUGAAGCGUAAGGGCGUAUAUAUUUAGUUAUAUACGGGCAAACCCGGGGAACUGAAACAUCUAAGUACCCGGAGGAACAGAAAAUAACAAUGAUUCCCUAAGUAGUGGCGAGCGAACGGGGACGAGCCCAAACCGAGCUGGUUACGGCCAGCGCGGGGUUGUAGGACCUCAACAUCUGAUUGUUUGAUUUUAGCUGAACGACGUGGGAAAGUCGAUCAUAGAGGGUGAGAAUCCCGUAAGCGAGCAGAUCAAGCACGGUAGAGGAUUCCUGAGUAGGGGGGGACCGGAGAAAUCCCCUCUGAAUCCAGCGGCACCAUCCGCUAAGGCUACAUACUCCUGAGAGACCGAUAGUGAACCAGUACCGUGAGGGAAAGGUGAAAAGAACCUCGAAUAGAGGAGUGAAAAGAACCUGAAACCGUGUGCUUACAAGCGGUCGGAGCCCUUUUGUGGGGUGACGGCGUGCCUUUUGCAUAAUGAGCCUACGAGUUACUCCUCCCUGGCGAGGUUAAAUGCUUCGAAGCAUGGAGCCGCAGCGAAAGCGAGUCUGAAUAGGGCGCAGAGUCAGGGGGGGUAGACGCGAAACUUUGUGAUCUACCCAUGACCAGGGUGAAGGUUGGGUAAAACCAACUGGAGGCCCGAACCAGUUUCCGUUGAAAAGGAUUUGGAUGAGUUGUGGGUAGGGGUGAAAGGCCAAUCAAACUGAGAAAUAGCUCGUACUCCCCGAAAUGUAUUUAGGUACAGCGUCGAGGUGAAGUCAGCGGGAGGUAGAGCUACCGAUUGGACUAGGGGGUGUCACAGCCUACCGAAUCCAGACGAACUCCGAAUGCCCGUUGAUAUACUCGGCAGUGAGGCGUGGGGUGCUAAGGUCCCAUGCCGAGAGGGAAAGAACCCAGACCAUCCGCUAAGGUCCCUAAAUUCGGACUAAGUUGAACAAAGGAGGUCCACUUGCCUUGACAGCCAGGAUGUUGGCUUGGAAGCAGCCAUUCAUUUAAAGAGUGCGUAACAGCUCACUGGUCGAGCGAGAGGGCAUCGAUAAUACGCGGGCAUCAAGUCCGGUACCGAAGCGAUGGAUUUACACGUAGGUGUAAGUGGUAGGGGAGCAUUCUAGCAGCGGAGAAGGUAUCCUGUCAGGGGUGCUGGAGCGGCUAGAAAAGCAAAUGUAGGCAUGAGUAACGAUAAGGCGGGUGAGAAACCCGCCCCCCGAUAGACUAAGGUUUCCUGCUCAACGCUAAUCGGAGCAGGGUUAGUCGGGACCUAAGGCUACGCCGAGAGGCUACGUCGAUGGACAGCUGGUUGAUAUUCCAGCACUUACAACAGGAAGUGAUGCAGUGACGCAGAAGUGAAAGUACCGCGGGCGGACGGAAGUGCCCGUUGAAGCGUGUAGGUAUAGGGUUGGUAGGUAAAUCCGCCGACUUUGCUGAACCGUGAUAGUACCCUACGGCCUCGGCCACGGGGAUAGUGUACCUAAUCAGACUGCCAAGAAAACCUGCUAAGCGUUUUAAUUCUGUUGUAACCCGUACCGCAAACCGACACAGGUAGUCAAGGAGAGUAUCCUGAGGGGCUCGAGUGAAUCACGGCCAAGGAACUCGGCAAAAUGGACCUGUAACUUCGGGAGAAGGGUCGCUUCCUCUGCGCAAGCAGAGAAGCCGCAGUGAAAAGGCCCAGGCGACUGUUUAACAAAAACACAUGACUUUGCGAACGCGCAAGCGGAAGUAUAAGGUCUGACACCUGCCCGGUGCCGGAAGGUUAAGAGGGGAACUUAGUGGCGCAAGCUGCGAAGGUUUGAAUCGAAGCCCCGGUAAACGGCGGCCGUAACUAUAACGGUCCUAAGGUAGCGAAAUUCCUUGUCGGGUAAGUUCCGACCUGCACGAAUGGUGUAACGAUCUGGGCGCUGUCUCAGCCGUGAGCUCGGUGAAAUUGUAGUCUCGGUGAAGAUGCCGAGUACCCGCCACGGGACGGAAAGACCCCGUGCACCUUUACUAUAGCUUGACAUUGACGCUGGGUAACACAUGUGUAGGAUAGGUGGGAGGCUUUGAGCCGGAGGCGCCAGCUUUCGGGGAGCCAACGUUGAAAUACCACCCUUGUGUUACUCGGUGCCUAAUCUCCGAGACGGGGAAACAGUGUCUGGUGGGUAGUUUGACUGGGGUGGUCGCCUCCAAAAGAGUAUCGGAGGCUUUCAAAGGUCCGCUCAGACCGCUUGGUAACCGGUUGUAGAGCGCAAUAGCAGAAGCGGGCUUGACUGUGAGGCCUACAAGCCGAGCAGGGUCGAAAGACGGAUAUAGUGAUCCGGUGGUUCCGCAUGGAAGGGCCAUCGCUCAAAGGAUAAAAGGUACGCCGGGGAUAACAGGCUGAUCUCCCCCAAGAGCUCAUAUCGACGGGGAGGUUUGGCACCUCGAUGUCGGCUCGUCACGUCCUGGGGCUGGAGAAGGUCCCAAGGGUUCGGCUGUUCGCCGAUUAAAGUGGCACGCGAGCUGGGUUCAGAACGUCGUGAGACAGUUCGGUCCCUAUCUGUGGUGGGCGUUAGAGAUUUGCGAGGACCUGUCCUUAGUACGAGAGGACCGGGAUGGACCAGCCGCUCGUGCACCGGUUGUGGCGCCAGCUGCAGCGCCGGGUAGCGACGCUGGGAUGAGAUAAGCGCUGAAAGCAUCUAAGUGCGAAACUCACCUCAAGAUGAGAUCUCUUAUAUAGGAAGAGUCGUGGGAGACGACCACGUCGAUAGGCUAUAGGUGGAAGGUCCGAAAUGGCCGAGCCGAGUAGUACUAAUGACUCGAACACUUACCAGA
This is a ribosomal RNA of Hymenobacter roseosalivarius DSM 11622, 2918 nucleotides long. It matches the Rfam family "Bacterial large subunit ribosomal RNA". The record is from Rfam. Lineage: Bacteria; Pseudomonadati; Bacteroidota; Cytophagia; Cytophagales; Hymenobacteraceae.